CAUCUGCAGCAGGAAUAGCGUCGUAUUC
Molecule: small RNA, 28 nt
Filed under: Bombyx mori (domestic silkworm)
Lineage: Eukaryota; Metazoa; Arthropoda; Insecta; Lepidoptera; Bombycidae
Description: piRNA piR-bmo-1556007
Source: RNAcentral